This 680-nucleotide ribosomal RNA is filed under the name Orphnabaccha calda. RNAcentral's name for it is "SSU rRNA". It matches the Rfam family "Eukaryotic small subunit ribosomal RNA", at positions 385 to 997 of the family's 1831-position model. Lineage: Eukaryota; Metazoa; Arthropoda; Insecta; Diptera; Syrphidae. The record is from RNAcentral.
GGAGAGGGAGCCUGAGAAACGGCUACCACAUCUAAGGAAGGCAGCAGGCGCGUAAAUUACCCACUCCCAGUUCGGGGAGGUAGUGACGAAAAAUAACAAUACAGGACUCAUAUCCGAGGCCCUGUAAUUGGAAUGAGUACACUUUAAAUCCUUUAACAAGGACCAAUUGGAGGGCAAGUCUGGUGCCAGCAGCCGCGGUAAUUCCAGCUCCAAUAGCGUAUAUUAAAGUUGUUGCGGUUAAAACGUUCGUAGUUGAAUUUGUGCUUCAUACGGGUAGUACAACUACAAUUGUGGAUUGUACAUUACUUUAUGUAUGCAAGCGUAUUACCGGUGGAGUUCUAAUAUAUAAUGGUACUUGUAUCAUUGUGUAUACCUCCUAUUUAAACCUGCUUCAGUGCUCUUCAUCGAGUGCUGUUGUGGGCCGGUACAGUUACUUUGAACAAAUUAGAGUGCUUAAAGCAGGCUCCAAAUGCCUGAAUAUUUUGUGCAUGGAAUAAUGAAAUAAGACUUCUGAUCUACUUUCAUUGGUUUUUAGAUCAAGAGGUAAUGAUUAAUAGAAGCAGUUUGGGGGCAUUAGUAUUACGACGCGAGAGGUGAAAUUCUUGGACCGUCGUAAGACUAACUUAAGCGAAAGCAUUUGCCAAAGAUGUUUUCAUUAAUCAAGAACGAAAGUUAGAGGU